CUUUGCUGGAGCUGGCUGAAAUAGGAGCAAAUUAGUCUCAUUCUGGAAAAGGCAGGGCAUGAUAAAGGACCCCCUAAAAGGUUUCCAGAGCUCCGUGCCUGAAUGUUUUGCAGUCCGUGUAAUUAUCUGACUUGGUAUGGGACAGAAGCCAAGAUGUAGGCCAGGAGAACUGCAUGUAUCACUGAUUUGACCGGAACAAGAGCUUAGUGAGAUGUGUCCGGAGUUUCUUCUUGGCCUCACCGACUUCAAGAAUGAAGCCACGGACCUCGCGACCCGGUUAUUAGAGAGAUCUGCUUACCACAUGGCGAUGGGGUGGCCAAAGCACUAUUUUCAUACCACACCUCACCAAGGUUUGCCUGCAGACAUCAGUUUUCAGUCACUGCCAUCAAACACAUUAGCAGAUAUGUAUGAAGAAGCUACCUCUGUUGGAGAAGUAUGUGUAUCAAAAAUUAUACUUACCACAUUUUGUCUUAAGGAGAGUACCAUAUAAGAUGGUAAUGUUUGUGAUGUGAUGGGUAACAGCUGGCAGGCUAAACUACAUUCUUGGAGAAUGGAUUAUUUAAUUCUAGGCUUUUGAUUUGCUGAUUGGGGAGUGCAAUUUUGGGCCAAGAGCCAGACUGUUCAGAAUAAUACAGGAAGGCUGAGAACCUGCCUUCAUUUCUCGAACUUUCCCCACACUGUACUUAUUGCCUCCUCUAAACAAACAAACAAACAACAGCAACAACAAAAAACUUCAGUAAAGUUUCAGGAUACAAAAUCAAGGUACAAAAAUUAGUAGCAUCUCUAACACCAAUAACAUUCAAGCUAAGAGCCAAAUCAAGAAUGCGAUCCCAUUUAAAAUAGCCACAAGAAAAAUAAAAUACCUAGGAAUACACAUAACCAAGGAAGUGAAAGACCUCUACAAAGAGAACUAUAAAACACUGCUAAAAGAAGUCGCAGAUGACAAAAACAAAUGAAAACACAUUCCAUGUUCAUGAACUGGAAGACUCAACAUUCUUAAAAUGACCAUACUGCCCAAAGCAAUCUACAGAUUCAAUGCUUUUCCUAUCAAACUAUCAAUGCCAUUUUUCACAGAACUAGAAUAAACUAUUCUAAAAUCCAUAUGGAACCAAAAAAGAACCCAAAUAGCCAAAGCAAUCCUAACCAAAAGAACAAAACCAGAAGCAUCACAUUACCCAACUUCAAACUAUACUAUAAGGCUACAGUAACCAAAAACAGCAUGGUACUGGUACAAAAACAGAUACAUAGAGUAAUGGAAUAGAAUAGAGGCCCCUAAAAUGAAGCUGCACACCUACAACAACCUGAUAUUUGACAAAACAAGCAAUGAGGAAAGGACUUCCUAUUCAAUAAAUGGUGCUGGAAUAACUGGCUAGCCAUGUGCAGAAGAAUGAAACUGGACCCCUACCUUUCACCAUCACCACAUAAAAAAAAUUAACUCAACAUGGAUUAAGGAUUUAAAUGUAAGACCUACAACUAUAAAACCUAGAAGAAAACCUUGUAAAUACUAUUCUGGACAUCAGCCUUGGCAAGUAAUUCUUGACUAAGUUUUCAACUGCAACAAAAACAAAAAUGGACAAAUGGAACCUAUUUAAACUAAAGAACUUCUGCACAGUGAAAGAAACUAUCAACAGACUAAACAGACAACCUAUGGAAUGGGAGAAAAUAUUCAGAAACUAUGCAUCCAACAAAGAUCCACUAUCCAGAAUCUACAAACAAUGUAAGCCAUUUAACAAGCAAAAACAAAAUAACCCAAUUUAAAAAAAUGACAAAAGGACAUGAACAGACAUUUCUCAAAAGAAGACAUACAAGUGGCAAAAAAAAAAACACAUGAAAAAAUGCUCCACAUCACUAAUCAUCAGAAAAAUGCAAAUCAAAACCACAAUGAGAUCCCAUCUCACACCAGUCGGAAUGUCUAUUAUUAAAAAAUAAAAAAAAAAAAAACAGAUGCUGGCAAGGCUGUGGAGAAAAGGGAAUGCUUACACACUGUUGUUAGAAUGUAAAUUCGUUCAGCUACUGUAUAAAGCAGUUUGGAGAUUUCUCAAAGAACUUAAAACAGAACUACCAUUUGACCCAACAAUCCCAUUACUGGGUAUAUAUCCACAAGAAAACAAAUCGUUCUACUAAAAAGACACAUGCACUUGCACGUGCAUCACAGUCCUAUCACAACAGCAAAGACAGAAACUCAACCUAGGUACCCAUCAACAGUGGAUUGGAUUAAAAAUUAUGGUACAUAUGCACCAUGGAGUACUACACAGCCAUAAAAGGAAGGAAAUCAUGUCCUUUGCAGGAACAUGGAUGCUAUUGAAGGUCAUUAUCCUAUUAUCCUAAGUGGAUUAACACAGAAACAGAAAACAAAAUCCCUCAUGUUCUCACUUAUAAGUGGGAACAUUGGGUACUCAUGGACAUAAAGAUGGCAACAGUAGACACUGGGAACUACAAAACAAACAAACAAACAAACAAACAAAACAAGAAGCUGCCUUGGUAGACUGUCACACUAAAUUGUUACUGUUGCUUCAAUUUAACAUCUAUUAACUAUAACAAAAUGGUUUAUAAAAUAAAAAAUUAGACAUCAUUUGUAGCAAUUUCUUCAGUAUUUAAACAUUCGUGGAAGAUAGAGAAAAUAAUAUGGGCUUAAAACAGAAUCUUCUCUCCUUUUCCCACAAAUCACCAUGUUUUAUGUGUUCUCAAACAAAACCAUCUGAUGCCAUGAAGCUAAAUAUUUUCAACUGAAAUAUAAGAGUAGUCUAUAAUAUUAUCAAAUAAGGGUACUAUUUUAAUAAUGUACCAAAAGAAUCACUGGGGUUUGAAUUCUAUUUCAUGAAAAUCUAAUUUUCUUCUUAAUUCUGCAGCCCAG
This 2854-nucleotide long non-coding RNA is filed under the name Homo sapiens (human). Its description in RNAcentral is "HSALNT0200355". Lineage: Eukaryota; Metazoa; Chordata; Mammalia; Primates; Hominidae. The record is from RNAcentral.